GCAUGAGUGGUCUAGUGGUAAAAUAGGACCCUGCCACGGUAUAGACACGGGUUUGAUUCCCGGUUGGUGCU
Molecule: non-coding RNA, 71 nt
Organism: Lupinus angustifolius (narrow-leaved blue lupine)
Lineage: Eukaryota; Viridiplantae; Streptophyta; Magnoliopsida; Fabales; Fabaceae
Source: Rfam